GAGUUUGAUCCUGGCUCAGAUUGAACGCUGGCGGCAUGCCUUACACAUGCAAGUCGAACGGUAACAGGUCUUCGGAUGCUGACGAGUGGCGAACGGGUGAGUAAUACAUCGGAACGUGCCCGAUCGUGGGGGAUAACGCAGCGAAAGCUGUGCUAAUACCGCAUACGAUCUACGGAUGAAAGCGGGGGAUCGCAAGACCUCGCGCGGACGGAGCGGCCGAUGGCAGAUUAGGUAGUUGGUGGGGUAAAGGCUCACCAAGCCUUCGAUCUGUAGCUGGUCUGAGAGGACGACCAGCCACACUGGGACUGAGACACGGCCCANACUCCUACGGGAGGCAGCAGUGGGGAAUUUUGGACAAUGGGCGCAAGCCUGAUCCAGCCAUGCCGCGUGCAGGAUGAAGGCCUUCGGGUUGUAAACUGCUUUUGUACGGAACGAAAAGACUCGUUUUAAUACGAUGGGUCCAUGACGGUACCGUAAGAAUAAGCACCGGCUAACUACGUGCCAGCAGCCGCGGUAAUAC
RNAcentral lists this ribosomal RNA (520 nucleotides) under uncultured eubacterium WD212. RNAcentral's name for it is "bacterial SSU rRNA". It matches the Rfam family "Bacterial small subunit ribosomal RNA", at positions 9 to 526 of the family's 1533-position model. The record is from RNAcentral.